Molecule: ribosomal RNA, 166 nt
Filed under: uncultured bacterium
Lineage: Bacteria
Description: partial 16S rRNA
Rfam family: Bacterial small subunit ribosomal RNA
Source: RNAcentral
UAAGGGAAUCUUCGGCAAUGGACGAAAGUCUGACCGAGCAACGCCGCGUGAGUGAAGAAGGUUUUCGGAUCGUAAAACUCUGUUGGUAGAGAAGAACGUUGGUGAGAGUGGAAAGCUCAUCAAGUGACGGUAACUACCCAGAAAGGGACGGCUAACUACGUGCCAG